Long non-coding RNA from Anopheles gambiae (African malaria mosquito), 1150 nucleotides. RefSeq lists it as uncharacterized. Lineage: Eukaryota; Metazoa; Arthropoda; Insecta; Diptera; Culicidae. The record is from RefSeq and is a predicted model, not a curated record. The transcript has 2 exons.
AAAUGACAAUCCAGCCUGCUCUCACUAUGGCGAGCUCAAUGACAGCAGCUUCAAUCCAUACUGAGAGGCUAUCAUCGUUUCUUCCUGCGUACUGAGCAUGCUUGUUUUUUCCCCUCGCUGAGGCGAGAUGAUUUUGUUUGUAUGGUGAGCAAAUCUAUCGCCGAUGAUUGCUCUAAUGAGAUGAUCAAGCAACAGCAGCUCACAUGAUGAAAUCAUGAUGAGGUCGGAUUUUGGAGUGAGUAAACAUAUCUUCUCCACAUCGAGCCGCCAUUGUGUUGUGGUUUGAGGAGAACAUUGGAUCAUUAACGAAUUGUUUGCAUUUGUAAAACGUGCAAUAAUUGACCGCGGGCUACAUUUCUCAAUUCUUUUGUUGAAAGAACAUAUCAAAUAUCCCAAAUCAGUUAAAAUAUAGUGAAAUACUUCACAUGACGCACGGUUCGUUGAAGGAAACGUAAAAUCAUGUGUGGGAAGAUGAUGAACAACUUCCCGGGACAAUCAUUCAAGUACUGUCGCUAGGCAUCAAUAAAAAAUGAAGCAGCGUUUGACGAUGAAGAAGAUACCCGGUUGUGUGAUGGCCAUUAACCGUUAACGUUGAAAAUCAAGAGCAAUAUUACAUGGAUUGAAAAUACCUAGAGAUGAUUCGCAUCGAGUCGAAUUUAAAACGGAAAAUAAUGGUCCACAAAAGCCAUCUAAUAUAACAUGAAAGGCCAUGUUUUGGAUAUUUUUGAUUGUUAGCAAUGGCGGAUUAAGACGAGUGGAGGCCCUAAGCGGUCACACGAAAGUAGAGGCUUGAUUGAAGCGUCUAGCAGGGGAUUGUAUUAAAUGUCCUAACCAGAGAAGGAUUGAGUAACAAUUUUACUUGUGAGCGAGUCGUAGGUGCCUUUUUUGGGGCCCCUGGCCGACACAGAUGUUCGACACUUAAACAACUGAAUUCGAUGGAACACAUUAAAACUGAGGGAAAUACACAUCUAAUCAAUUACUUAAAAAAUAGUAUAAUUGUAUUGAUUCGUAAUGUAUUUUGUAGUUCUGACCUGCAUGCAUAAUUCUAAAACAUUCCUAUGAAUCACAGAAAGGCCUAAAACCUGAAGGCCUGCCUAAUAAACUUGAAAAAAAAACACCCGGCAAAUAACCCUAUAAAAACUAAAUAAAA